CAAACAGGAUUAGAUACCCUGGUAGUCCACGCCGUAAACGAUGUCGACUUGGAGGUUGUGCCCUUGAGGCGUGGCUUCCGGAGCUAACGCGUUAAGUCGACCGCCUGGGGAGUACGGCCGCAAGGUUAAAACUCAAAUGAAUUGACGGGGGCCCGCACAAGCGGUGGAGCAUGUGGUUUAAUUCGAUGCAACGCGAAGAACCUUACCUGGUCUUGACAUCCACGGAAGUUUUCAGAGAUGAGAAUGUGCCUUCGGGAACCGUGAGACAGGUGCUGCAUGGCUGUCGUCAGCUCGUGUUGUGAAAUGUUGGGUUAAGUCCCGCAACGAGCGCAACCCUUAUCCUUUGUUGCCAGCGGUCCGGCCGGGAACUCAAAGGAGACUGCCAGUGAUAAACUGGAGGAAGGUGGGGAUGACGUCAAGUCAUCAUGGCCCUUACGACCAGGGCUACACACGUGCUACAAUGGCGCAUACAAAGAGAAGCGACCUCGCGAGAGCAAGCGGACCUCAUAAAGUGCGUCGUAGUCCGGAUUGGAGUCUGCAACUCGACUCCAUGAAGUCGGAAUCGCUAGUAAUCGUGGAUCAGAAUGCCACGGUGAAUACGUUCCCGGGCCUUGUACACACCGCCCGUCACACCAUGGGAGUGGGUUGCAAAAGAAGUAGGUAGCUUAACCUUCGGGAGGGCGCUUACCACUUUGUGAUUCAUGACUGGGGUGAAGUCGUAACAAGGUAACCGUAGGGGAACCUGCGGUUG
This 751-nucleotide ribosomal RNA is filed under the name Escherichia coli. RNAcentral's name for it is "bacterial SSU rRNA". It matches the Rfam family "Bacterial small subunit ribosomal RNA", at positions 769 to 1520 of the family's 1533-position model. Lineage: Bacteria; Pseudomonadati; Pseudomonadota; Gammaproteobacteria; Enterobacterales; Enterobacteriaceae. The record is from RNAcentral.